UUGAUAGUACCCGAAGAGGAAGAGACGGCUAACUCUGUGCCAGCAGCCGCGGUAAUACAGAGGUCUCAAGCGUUGUUCGGAUUCAUUGGGCGUAAAGGGUGCGUAGGCGGCGCGGUAAGUCGGGUGUGAAAUCUUGGAGCUUAACUCCGAAACUGCAUUCGAUACUGCCGUGCUUGAGGACUGGAGAGGAGACUGGAAUUUACGGUGUAGCGGUGAAAUGCGUAGAUAUCGUAAGGAAGACCAGUGGCGAAGGCGGGUCUCUGGACAGUUCCUGACGCUGAGGCACGAAGGUCAGGGGAGCAAACGGGAUUAGAUACCCCGGUAGUCCUGACAGUAAACGGUGCACGUUUGGUGUGGGAGGAUUCGACCCCUUCUGCGCCGGAGCUAACGCGUUAAACGUGCCGCCUGGGGAGUACGGUCGCAAGAUUAAAACUCAAAGAAAUUGACGGGGGCCCGCACAAGCGGUGGAGUAUGUGGCUCAAUUCGAUGCAACGCGAAGAACCUUACCUGGCCUUGACAUGCAUCUCUAAGCUGGUGAAAGCCAGUGACUCCCGAAAGGGAGAAUUUGCACAGGUGCUGCAUGGCUGUCGUCAGCUCGUGUCGUGAGAUGUUGGGUUAAGUCCCGCAACGAGCGCAACCCCUGUGAACUGUUGCCACUGGGCCGUGAGGUCCAAGCACUCUGUUCAGACUGCCCUGUGAAACGGGGAGGAAGGUGGGGACGACGUCAAGUCAGUAUGGCCCUUACGGCCAGGGCUGCACACGUACUACAAUGCCCAGUACAGAACGAUCCGAGACCGCGAGGUGGAGGAAAUCUAGUAAAACUGGGCUCAGUUCGGAUUGGAGUCUGCAACUCGACUCCAUGAAGCCGGAAUCGCUAGUAAUGGCGCAUCAGCUACGGCGCCG
This 903-nucleotide ribosomal RNA is filed under the name uncultured bacterium. RNAcentral describes it as "bacterial SSU rRNA". It matches the Rfam family "Bacterial small subunit ribosomal RNA", at positions 469 to 1362 of the family's 1533-position model. The record is from RNAcentral.